CUCAAAUAGACAUCCUUAACUUACAAUUCAUUGAUUUUUUUUACCUACUUGUUGAAGUUAAUUGUUUCAGAAACUUCAAUCUUGGCUUCAACUUCCAAAUGGAAACUGGGAGCUUGUGAAGAUAGUGUCAACUUCAGGGAAAGAAUCAAUUGUUUCACUGCCUGAGGGAAAAGUUCAAAAGGUGAAAUCUGAAAGUUUGAUUUCGGCAAAUCCCGAUAUCCUUGAUGGUGUCGAUGAUCUCAUGCAACUUAGCUAUUUGAAUGAACCGGCAGUAUUGUACAAUCUCCAGUAUAGAUACAAGCAAGAUACAAUUUAUACCCAAGCAGGACCUGUGUUGGUUGCUAGCAAUCCCUUCAAGUAAGUUCCUUUAUAUGGAAAUGACUAUAUGGGGGCAUAUAAGAACAAAUCUAUUGAGAGCCCGCAUGUGUAUGCUAUUACAGAUACAGCCAUCCGAGAAAUGACACGAGGUGCAUUUUGUGUUGAAUAGUAUUGGAUUGAGCGGUCCUGUAUUAGCAAUUGUUCUCUCUCUCUGGUAUACUAAUUCUGUCUUGUUUUCUUUUCCCUGAUGAAAGUAAAUCAAUCGAUCAUCAUAAGCGGUGAAAGUGGAGCAGGAAAAACUGAGACAGCAAAAAUAGCGAUGCAAUAUUUAGCUGCUCUUGGUGGUGGCAGUGGGAUAGAAUAUGAAAUAUUGAAGACUAAUUCAAUCUUAGAAGCAUUUGGUAAUGCCAAAACAUCGAGAAAUGACAACUCAAGUCACUUUGGAAAGCUGAUAGAAAACAAAAUGGAAGUGGUGAUGA
This is a long non-coding RNA of Pistacia vera, 797 nucleotides long. RefSeq lists it as uncharacterized. The record is from RefSeq and is a predicted model, not a curated record. NCBI's taxonomy places the organism in Eukaryota, Viridiplantae, Streptophyta, Magnoliopsida, Sapindales, Anacardiaceae. The transcript is spliced from 5 exons.